This is a long non-coding RNA of Sapajus apella (tufted capuchin), 592 nucleotides long. RefSeq lists it as uncharacterized. The record is from RefSeq and is a predicted model, not a curated record. The transcript has 3 exons. NCBI's taxonomy places the organism in Eukaryota, Metazoa, Chordata, Mammalia, Primates, Cebidae.
GUUUCUUAACAGAGUGACCCACGUAGCAAGGACUGGAAGAGAACACUAUUCAUUCCUGCUUUAAGUGGCCACUAAACAUGCAGAAGGUUUCCUCUGAACCGAGAGUUGAAGGAUAUGGUGCAACAAGCCCGUUUCCUGGCACUGGAAAGUGAGGCCAGAGCUGCAGAAGAGGCAAUGGUGAAGGAAGUGCUGUGGGGCCAUGCUUGGCCCCCUCACGUGGGCCUUCAGCUGGCGCUCUUGAUUCCAGGUCCCAGCCCCUACUACCAUGAAGGUAAGCCGUAAAGUCUGUUGCCAGGGAUUGGGGAGGUUAGUAUUAAAGAAGAUUCUGGAGUACAGAAGCAGGAAGAUAUGCUGUGGAGAUGCUGUUGGCAGAAACAGCUGGCCUUGACGGAGCAAACCAACAGGAGCAGAGGCCACCGAGCGGAGGCUGACGCCCAUGCACAGAGUCACAGCAUAGCAAUACAACUUUCACAUGUGCACAAUAAUAAGGCCAAGCACAAUGGCUCACACCUGUAAUCCUAGCAUUCUGGGAGGCCAAGGCAGGUGGACUGCCUGAGCUCAGGAGUUUGAGGCCACCCUGGGCAACAUGGUG